CGUACCCCAAACCGACACAGGUGGGCAGGUAGAAGAUACCAAGGCGCUUGAGGGAACUAUGUUGAAGGAACUCGGCAAAAUGCUCCCGUAAGUUCGCGAGAAGGGAGACCUCUACUUAGGCAACUAGGUAGGGGUGGCACAGACCAGGGGGUGGCGACUGUUUACUAAAAACACAGGGCUCUGCGAAGUCGCAAGACGACGUAUAGGGUCUGACGCCUGCCCGGUGCCGGAAGGUUAAGAGGAGAGGUGA
Molecule: ribosomal RNA, 250 nt
Filed under: uncultured Pelagophyceae
Lineage: Eukaryota; Pelagophyceae
Description: partial Bacterial large subunit ribosomal RNA
Rfam family: Bacterial large subunit ribosomal RNA
Source: RNAcentral